GAUGAACGCUAGCUACAGGCUUAACACAUGCAAGUCGAGGGGAACGACAUCGAAAGCUUGCUUUGAUGGGCGUCGACCGGCGCACGGGUGAGUAACGCGUAUCCAACCUGCCCACCACUUGGGGAUAACCUUGCGAAAGUAAGACUAAUACCCAAUGAUAUCCCACGAAGGCAUCCGAAUGGGAUUAAAGAUUUAUCGGUAUGAGAUGGCGGUGCGUCCCAUUAGCUUGUUGGCGGGGUAACGGCCCACCAAGGCGACGAUGGGUAGGGGUUCUGAGAGGAAGGUCCCCCACAUUGGAACUGAGACACGGUCCAAACUCCUACGGGAGGCAGCAGUGAGGAAUAUUGGUCAAUGGGCGAAAGCCUGAACCAGCCAAGUAGCGUGCAGGAUGACGGCCCUAUGGGUUGUAAACUGCUUUAUAAGGGAAUAAAGUGAGCCUCGUGAGGCUUUUUGCAUGUACCUUAUGAAUAGGACCGGCUAAUUCCGUG
This 488-nucleotide ribosomal RNA is filed under the name uncultured bacterium. Its description in RNAcentral is "bacterial SSU rRNA". It matches the Rfam family "Bacterial small subunit ribosomal RNA", at positions 28 to 507 of the family's 1533-position model. The record is from RNAcentral.